This 445-nucleotide ribosomal RNA is filed under the name uncultured bacterium. Its description in RNAcentral is "bacterial SSU rRNA". It matches the Rfam family "Bacterial small subunit ribosomal RNA", at positions 354 to 796 of the family's 1533-position model. The record is from RNAcentral.
GUGAGGAAUAUUGGUCAAUGGGCGCAAGCCUGAACCAGCCAUGCCGCGUGCAGGAAGACGGUCCUAUGGAUUGUAAACUGCUUUUAUUUGGGAAUAAACUCCGGUACGUGUACCGGCCUGAAGGUACCACAUGAAUAAGCACCGGCUAACUCCGUGCCAGCAGCCGCGGUAAUACGGAGGGUGCAAGCGUUAUCCGGAAUCAUUGGGUUUAAAGGGUCCGCAGGCGGUCUUAUAAGUCAGUGGUGAAAGCCUACAGCUCAACUGUAGAACUGCCAUUGAUACUGUAGGACUUGAAUUCGAUCGAAGUGGGCGGAAUGUGACAUGUAGCGGUGAAAUGCUUAGAUAUGUCACAGAACACCGAUAGCGAAGGCAGCUCACUAGGUCUGGAUUGACGCUCAGGGACGAAAGCGUGGGGAGCAAACAGGAUUAGAAACCCUUGUAGUCC